RNAcentral lists this long non-coding RNA (1033 nucleotides) under Marmota monax (woodchuck). Lineage: Eukaryota; Metazoa; Chordata; Mammalia; Rodentia; Sciuridae. The record is from RNAcentral.
GAAGAUAGAGUCUCCUUAGAAGGGGGAUGGUGGAAAGCAACCACAUACUGCUGUGUGUACCUUUUCCUAUGCCACAUAAUUCCAGUUGUGUUUUUUACUUUAGUUCACAUUGUAUCAGGAAUGCUUUUUUUUUUUUUUUUUUUGCAUUGGCCUAAAUUUCAUAAUCAUUAUGGCAGGAAAGUAAUCAUCUUCCACCCACGAGAUGUUCACAUCCUCAUCCUGGAACCUGUGAAUACAUUACCUUAUAUGGUAAAAAAAGACUUUUUGCAAAUGUGGUUCGAUUAGGCAUUUAUGUUAGUCAGAUUUCCAUUACCAUAACAAGUAGUUUAGAUAAUGAACUGACAAAGAGAAAAGUGUUAUCUUGAUUCACAGUUUAUAGAGAUAUCAGUCCAUGGACAGUUGGCUCUGUUUCUUUAGAACCCGUAAUGAGGGAGCACAAUAUGGCAGAGGUGUGAGGUAGCCCUGAACCACUCACCUUGUGGCCAGGUAGCAAAGGAGAGCAAGGAGGCCAGGGUCCUACUAUAGUCUUCAAAGGCAUACCUCCAGUGACCUGGAAACCUCCACUAACCUCCACCUCACACUGAUUCCACCAUUUUACAAUGGAGCCACUCUGGGACCAAGCCUUCACCACAUGGAGUUUGGAGGGACAUUAAAGACCCAAACUCUAGCAGGCAUCCUGAGAUGGAGAGAUUAUUCUGGAUUUUCUGAAUGGGCUUGAUGUAAUUUAAAAGGUCCUUACAAGGGAAAGGAGGAGGCAGAAGACUCUAAGGAGAUGUGACAAUGGAGGCAGAGGUCAGAGUGACACAUGGACCAAGAGCCGAGGACCUGAGGCAACAUCUGAAAACUGGAAAUGACAAGGAAAUCGAUUAUGUCCUACAGCUUCUAGAAGGAACACAGCCCUACUGACCAGUUUUGGAUUUCUGACCUACAGAAUUAAAGAUAAUAAAUUUGUAUUGUUUUAAGCCAUAAAUCUGUGGUCAUUUGCUAUAGUAACAAUGGUAAGGGAAUACAAUUAACAUUUAAAAAAAAUUUU